CUGCCCUAUCAACUUUCGAUGGUAGGAUAGUGGCCUACCAUGGUUUCAACGGGUAACGGGGAAUUAGGGUUCGACUCCGGAGAGGGAGCCUGAGAAACGGCUACCACAUCCAAGGAAGGCAGCAGGCGCGCAAAUUACCCAAUCCCGACACGGGGAGGUAGUGACAAUAAAUACUGAUCCAGGGCUCUUUCGGGUCUUGGAAUUGGAAUGAGUACAAUUUAAAUCCCUUAACGAGGAACAAUUGGAGGGCAAGUCUGGUGCCAGCAGCCGCGGUAAUUCCAGCUCCAAUAGCGUAUAUUAAAGUUGUUGCAGUUAAAAAGCUCGUAGUUGAACCUUGGGCCUGGCUGGCCGGUCCGCCUCACCGCGUGUACUGGUCCGGCCGGGCCUUUCCUUCUGGGGAACCGCAUGGCCUUCACUGGCCGUGUCGGGGAACCAGGACUUUUACUUUGAAAAAAUUAGAGUGUUCAAAGCAGGCCUUUGCUCGGAUACAUUAGCAUGGAAUAAUAGAAUAGGACGCGUGGUUCUAUUUUGUUGGUUUCUAGGACCGCCGUAAUGAUUAAUAGGGAUAGUCGGGGGCAUCAGUAUUCAAUUGUCAGAGGUGAAAUUCUUGGAUUUAUUGAAGACUAACUACUGCGAAAGCAUUUGCCAAGGAUGUUUUCAUUAAUCAGUGAACGAAAGUUAGGGGAUCGAAGACGAUCAGAUACCGUCGUAGUCUUAACCAUAAACUAUGCCGACUAGGGAUCGGUGGAUGUUACUAUUUUGACUCCAUCGGCACCUUACGAGAAAUCAAAGUUUUUGGGUUCUGGGGGGAGUAUGGUCGCAAGGCUGAAACUUAAAGAAAUUGACGGAAGGGCACCACCAGGCGUAAACCAAACCGCAGUUAACUCUGCGCCGCAUAGCGGCCCUCCCUGUCCCGGGGGGUGGUGGUGACCCGUACUAACUGCUAGUCGCCUUCGACGAGUCUCGGAGGCGGCCACAUACCCAAAUUGCGGGAAGUAUCCUUUAGAUUGACGUUCCACCAAGCCGACCGUGUCGGCGGCCGGCUCUAACACAUCCGGGUAAGGUUAUAGCGAGCGUUCAAUAGGAUCAUCCGCAGUCCUACGUGCGAAAGCCUCUUGCACGCGGUUCAGAGACUAAACGGGUGUGGGUCGGUCGUGACCGGCUUGAGAUAUAGUCCGUCGGGAAGUGCUAAUGCCUUUCUAACAACAUAAAACGGGAGCCUGCGGCUUAAUUUGACUCAACACGGGGAAAUCUCACCAGGUCCAGACACAAGGAGGAUUGACAGAUUGAGAGCUCUUUCUUGAUUUUGUGGGUGGUGGUGCAUGGCCGUUCUUAGUUGGUGGAGUGAUUUGUCUGCUUAAUUGCGAUAACGAACGAGACCUUAACCUGCUAAAUAGCCAGGCCCGCUUUGGCGGGUCGCCGGCUUCUUAGAGGGACUAUCGGCUCAAGCCGAUGGAAGUUUGAGGCAAUAACAGGUCUAACCUGCGGAGGG
This 1492-nucleotide ribosomal RNA is filed under the name Capnobotryella sp. MA 4697. RNAcentral's name for it is "bacterial SSU rRNA". It matches the Rfam family "Eukaryotic small subunit ribosomal RNA", at positions 307 to 1480 of the family's 1831-position model. Lineage: Eukaryota; Fungi; Ascomycota; Dothideomycetes; Mycosphaerellales; Teratosphaeriaceae. The record is from RNAcentral. RNAcentral also lists the same sequence under 1 other name.